Molecule: small RNA, 1813 nt
Filed under: Pan troglodytes (chimpanzee)
Lineage: Eukaryota; Metazoa; Chordata; Mammalia; Primates; Hominidae
Description: processed transcript
Source: RNAcentral
AUUAGGAAGGCCCCCAGCUGUGGCCAGCCCAGGGCCGGGCUGCCCACCGUGCCAGCCCAGUUUCAAUGACCCACCUGAGGGUUUCCAUCGUGGGCCAGGGGACCGGCGCAGGUGGGCAUCCGGAGCCAGGCAGUGGCCAGCCCAUCCCGGGCAGGGUCAUAGGUGGGGCUGCAGGCCUUGAAGCCGCCAUGUGAAGGCAGCAGCGACCCCAGGCAGGGCGGGCCAGGUUGACCUUGCACCUGCUCUCCCCUCGGCCCUGCGGCCAUGCCGACCCUGGUCGUGGGCACGCCGCCCACCUGCCUGGGGGACACACCUCAGCCCCGCCACAAGAACAGCCAGAGGCAGGGCCCCUUCUCCCAUGGGGCCCCAGGGAGAGCAGCCGACUGGGAGGCUGUUGCCAAGCCCAGGCUCUGCGCACCUGCAGCUGAGGAUGACGUGGCAGCCCUGAGGUGGCCCGGGCCCUCCCAGCAGCCAGACCCACCCUGGGCGGCUCCCCACGUGGUCGGGUCUGACGACCUCGAGGAAUCAGGCCCCUGGGGGAAGGCGUGCAGCCUGCCCAUGUGGUCCACAGGCCCGGAGGCUAGGGAUGGGGACAGCUCGGUGUCGUCGGGCCGCCUCUCGUGCUCUUCGGGGGGCCACGACGUGUGUGUGUCCUGGAAGGAGAGGCCACCCCAGGUGUUGGGGCCCCAGCGGAGGCCCAGAAAGAGUGACCCGCGGCUGGAGCAGCUGAGAGACAAGAUCCGGGCCCAGGCGUGGCAGCAGGGGAGCUGUGCGUCCCUGGGCACCUCAGCCCCCUCCAGCGCCUCCAGACUCCACAAAGCCUCCACGCUGGCGCUUAGGAGGAAAACCCAAGAGGCAAAAAAUCCCCCUCCAGCCCCUGAAUGCUCAGGUUUCAGCAUCUUGAGUGCAGCUGAGCGCAGAGUUGAAGCCAAGGCAUCCCAUGGCCAGGGGCGCGAGCUCUCCAGGGUCUCCCAGCACCAGGUUCCUGUUCUAAGGGAAAAACCCAAAAGGGUCAAAAGCAGUUCUUGCAAAAGAGAGAAGACCCCCAAGUCGCCCUCCCCUAGAAGAGCGGCCAAAGACAAACACAAAGACGAAGGUUGGCAGUCUUGCUCCCAUUUUGUAGAUGAGGCAACCGAGGUUCACAGAGUUUCCACAGCCUGCCCGGGGCCGCACAGAGGCAGAGCCUCCCACCCGUCCAGCUCAAGGCCAGUGCUCCUAACCUGGAAGCCCAGCCAUGUGCACCUGGGGCCACGCCUGGGCAGCUUGUCAAGGCCACCCUCCAGGCGUGGAUUCUGGGGCCACCGAACCACAGGGUUUUGGAGACACCAGCAAGAGCCCCCAGGUGGAGUGAACGCCACCCACUAGGCUGAGAUUGGCUUUGUGGGACCCUCACUCCAAGUGUGAGCAGUGCCAGCUCGCCGGCCACUCCUGUAAUGCUCCAUGCCUCAGUUUCUCCACGCUGCGUGCAAUCACAGCCCUGGGGCCACGGGGAGGGGCACUGCGUGGCGUGCGUUCUGUCCGUGCCCAGGUGGCUGAGCAUCUGUCCCGUGUCGUCAGUUGCCGGCCCCUCUGCUCCUAGGCAGAGCAGCAGCUUCCAGCCGAGAGUAAACGCCUCUGUGCCCAUACCCAGGGAGGACACGCGGGUGAGGUGGGAGCUCAGCGGGGCCGCAGGGCCACCGUGUGCAUUCAGCGGGGCCAGAGGCCGAGCAGAAGGGGACUGCGAUGUAGGGACCCAGGCACCCAGAAGGUUCCAGAAGGCCGUGGAAACAUGCGUACAAUAUAACAAUUUUCUGCAUGGUCACCCCCUCCCUCC